This 808-nucleotide long non-coding RNA is filed under the name Equus asinus (donkey). RNAcentral describes it as "lncRNA (ENSEASG00005037523.1)". Lineage: Eukaryota; Metazoa; Chordata; Mammalia; Perissodactyla; Equidae. The record is from RNAcentral.
CGCUCACUGCCGAGCCUCGGUCUCCUCGUCUGACACUAUGUGGGCGUCUGAACCGGGCCCAGCCGCCUAGGCCGGGCCACCGCGAGAGUCUGGCGCGAGGGUGUCACUUCCCGUGACGAGGGGAGAGUUGGCGUUUUGACAACAGGAGGUGGCCCGGCCGCGGGACCCCUGUUCCCCGUGGGGAGCAGCCGUCCCCGCACCCGCCAAGAGGACCGGGGCAGAGCCCGCCCGCCGCCCGCCCCGCUGUCUUGGGAAGGUUCCGAGUGCACCGCGAGGGCCCUGCGCGCCGCCCUCACCUGCAAAGGGUUUUUUUUUUUUUUUUUUGAGUUUUUCCAAAACCGAGCAGUGCGCCCCGCGGGUAGAACGCCUCGGGUGGGAAGGGCCUGGAGCGCACGGCGCUGCCAUGGGCCCCCGAGGAAGGCGCUGUUUCCUCCUGUGGAUGGACGACGGCCCAGUCCGGUUUCCUCCCUGGCUCCGCCACCUGAUAACCGUUAAUGGCCAUCCUGGCAGAGACAUCUAGGGGCUGGUUGGUCACACUGCCCACUGUCUCCAACAAGGACACGAAAACUGGGGAACCACAUGUGGAAAACCAAAGCAAACGUGAUAAUGCCCCCAACUCUGUAUUUCAAACCUGCUGCUGCUGCCCUGGAGGCUGGGGGUAUUUCUGCAGAAGAGGGCCACACAGGUGGCCCAGUGUUUCCUUGGUUCGAAUCCUGGACGCAGACAUGGCACCACUCAUCCAGCCACGCUGAGGCGGCGUCCCACAUGCCACAACUAGAAGGACCCACGACUAAGAAUAUAUAACUAU